RNAcentral lists this ribosomal RNA (406 nucleotides) under uncultured bacterium. RNAcentral's name for it is "partial 16S ribosomal RNA". It matches the Rfam family "Bacterial small subunit ribosomal RNA", at positions 29 to 526 of the family's 1533-position model. The record is from RNAcentral.
AUUGAACGCUGGCGGCAGGCCUAACACAUGCAAGUCGAACGAGUGGCGGACGGGUGAGUACUGUCUGGGAAACUGCCUGAUGGAGGGGGAUAACUACUGGAAACGGUAGCUAAUACCGCAUACCAUCGGAUGUGCCCAGAUGGGAUUAGCUAGUAGGUGGGGUAACGGCUCACCUAGGCGACGAUCCCUAGCUGGUCGGAGAGGAUGACCAGCCAAACGGGAACGGAGACACGGUCCAGACUCCUAGGGAAGGCAGCAGUGGGGAAUAUGGCACAAUGGGGGCAAGCCUGAGGCAGCCAUGCCGGGGGUAUGAAGAAGGCCUUCGGUUUGUAAAGUACUUUCAGCGGGGAGGCGUUACCCGCAGAAGAAGCACCGGCUAACUCCGUGCCAGCAGCCGCGGUAAUAC